RNAcentral lists this microRNA precursor (76 nucleotides) under Marmota monax (woodchuck). Lineage: Eukaryota; Metazoa; Chordata; Mammalia; Rodentia; Sciuridae. The record is from RNAcentral.
UAUAUAUGUAUGUGUAUGUGUGUGUGUGUGUGUGUAUAUAUAUACACACACACACACACAUACAUACAUAUACAUA